CCCGGUGUAGUGGUGAAAUGCGUAGAUAUCGGGAGGAACACCAGUGGCGAAGGCGGCCUCCUGGGUCGCCCCUGACGCUCAGACGCGAAAGCUAGGGGAGCAAACGGGAUUAGAUACCCCGGUAGUCCUAGCUGUAAACGAUGUGGACUUGGCGUUGGUGGGGUCAAAUCCAUCAGUGCCGUAGCUAACGCGAUAAGUCCACCGCCUGGGGACUACGGUCGCAAGGCUAAAACUCAAAGGAAUUGGCGGGGGCCCGCACAAGCAGCGGAGCGUGUGGUUUAAUUCGAUACUACACGAAGAACCUUACCCGGGUUUGACAUCCAGGUGGUAGGGAACCGAAAGGCGACCGACCCUUCGGGGAGCCUGGACAGGUGCUGCAUGGCUGUCGUCAGCUCGUGUCGUGAGAUGUCCGGUUAAGUCCGGUAACGAGCGCAACCCUUGCUGUAUGUUAUACGUGUCAUACAGGACUGCCGGUUUAGUGCCGGAGGAAGGCGGGGAUGACGUCAAGUCAGCAUGGCCUUUAUAUCCGGGGCUACACACACGCUACAAUGGCCAGUACAACAGGUUGCAAAACCGCGAGGUGGAGCCAAUCCCCAAAACUGGUCUCAGUUCAGAUUGCAGGCUGCAACUCGCCUGCAUGAAGUCGGAGUUGCUAGUAACCGCGCGUCAGCUAUAGUGCGGUGAAUACGUUCUCGGGCCUUGCACACACCGCCCGUCACGUCAUGGAAGCUGACAACACCUGAAGCCGGUAUCCUAACCGCAAGGAUGGAGCCGUCGAAGGUGGGGUUGGUGACUGGGACGAAGUCGUAACAAGGUAACC
Molecule: ribosomal RNA, 820 nt
Filed under: uncultured Chloroflexota bacterium
Lineage: Bacteria; Bacillati; Chloroflexota
Description: bacterial SSU rRNA
Rfam family: Bacterial small subunit ribosomal RNA
Source: RNAcentral